UUAUGCUUGAAAGAAUGCCAUUUAUAAAAUAACACACCAAGACUUUGAAAUCAUUUUCAAGUUUUCAAUUCGAAAUAUGAUAACCACUUUUAUUAUAUUGAUUCCAACAAUAUUUCAAGUGUCAAUCACAAGCCACUCAUGUGGCUUCACUCAAUUAUGCUUAAUAUUAUGUCAAUUAUCCUAAAAACACGGAAUCUAUGAAUUCUCCAAUAUUCAAAUAUCGCGCAAAAUUGUAUUCAAGCAUGCGCAAUGAAACUGCUCAACUCCAACGACCAACGGUAACCUAACCUCGCAUUUUUUAAAGCUGUGAGUGGAAUCGUGGAUGUGAUGUGAUCGUCUAUUUUUGUUAUCUCUAUCCGUUGAAUGAUUGAAAGGUGCAGUGUGGAACAUCAAGUCUACUUCCAGUGCCCCAAAUGAAGAAAUCCAUAUAAUAAUCCAAAAUGGUUUUGAUUCUCCAAAGACCAUGAUGGAGGUCGAGAAAAACGGAGAAAUGAUCCAGCACCCAAUCACAUGUAACUAGGCCAAGUGCCAAUAAGUAAAUUUUUAGAGAAUCUCAAACAUCCAUAAUCUUUUUUGUAAUAAUUUUACAAUAUACAAACUUUUCAUGCAUUUAA
This is a long non-coding RNA of Nilaparvata lugens (brown planthopper), 614 nucleotides long. RefSeq lists it as uncharacterized. The transcript is spliced from 2 exons. NCBI's taxonomy places the organism in Eukaryota, Metazoa, Arthropoda, Insecta, Hemiptera, Delphacidae. The record is from RefSeq and is a predicted model, not a curated record.